GGGACCGUAGCUCAAAGGGAGAGCACUGUGCUGGCAGCGCAGGGGUUGUGGGUUCGAGUCCCAUCGGUUCCACCA
This 75-nucleotide transfer RNA is filed under the name Paenalicyclobacillus cellulosilyticus. RNAcentral describes it as "Alicyclobacillus cellulosilyticus tRNA-Ala". It matches the Rfam family "tRNA". From Rfam's summary of the family: Transfer RNA (tRNA) molecules are approximately 80 nucleotides in length. Lineage: Bacteria; Bacillati; Bacillota; Bacilli; Caryophanales; Alicyclobacillaceae. The record is from RNAcentral.